UUCAUCUACAUUAAACAAAAAAAUACAAUAAAUAAUUAAAAAUAAAUUAUCGUUGACAUAUAUACAAUCACGAUAUUCAUUAUAUUUAUUUAUAAGAAUAAAAAUAAAUUAUCGUGACAUAAAAUAUACAGUCGACCAAAAGAUGAGAAUCAAACAAACAUUUCUUAUUUUCAAAUACUUUUUGUACAAUCUAUAAAUUUUACGCUAAUAAAACCAAAAUAAAUACAAAAUUCGUGCAACGCACGAGACGCAGACUAGUAUAGAGCAAAGUCCACAAGUUCAUGUCCCAAAACAUCACCAGCUCACCAACAACAUUCAGAACAGGCACAAAGCUAACAUGUAUGAUAAGGUCAAUUCCUGACACUAGGAUGUUAAUCUAUGAGAAAAACAACUGCCAGCCUCUGACAAAAUCAAUUUAAGUAAAUCUAGUUAUGAGUCGAGAUUCAUAAAUAAAAUCUUACCUAAUCGAAAUGAGAACUAUCCCAAUGCCUCAAUAAAGGGCAUUGACUGGAUAUCGCCUGCAUGAUGAAAGAUCUUUCUUUCGAAGCAACCAAUGUUAAGUACAAUUUAUUUUAAUACAAGUGAAACAACUUUCAUACUAAUAGUGCCACCCAAUUCUAUGACACAAACAUCAGAUGUACCCUUUUUUCCAUCAACCGGUAUAAGCGCCACCCAUUUAAUUUACUCUUGAAUAGCAUUAGUAAUGUGAGGUACAACGUAAAUGAGAGAAGAAGUAUAAAAUUAUGCACCAAUAUGGACAAUACAACAGAAAAGCAAUUAAAGAACCAAUGUGGGAUUUGGGAAUAAACUAUUAUAUUCAUGGUAUCAUUUCCAAUUUACCACACAUGCAUAAAUCACUCAAAAAAUAAUUAUUAAAGUCCACAUUUUAGGCUUUACCCUCCUCCCCUUUUCUCUAUCUAUUUAAUACCUACCGAUCCAGAAUCACUAUCCAUUACAUUGUACAUCAAAAACAUUUACAACUGGCCACCACCAAUCAUCACCAAUGGAACAGGAUUACCAUUCGUGAAACAACCACUGUCAUUAAUCUCCUCCUAGAAUGAAUGCUAUUAUGAGAAAAAAAAUAAAAAUAAAAAAAUAAAACCACAUAAAUUUACAUAACUAAAGAUCCAACAACCAAAAGAACGCCAUAUUGUCCAACGAAGGAAGUACUUCAAUGCCGAAGCUAUCAAUAUGGGCCCAAGUCAAUUAGUAAAUAAAGCAAACAAGCAAGCAAUUAGUAAAUACAGCAAAUUGAAAAAUUUUUACCAAGUCAGUGGACAUAACAAUGAAACAAUAACUAAAUCUAAUGAAAUAAGUAAAGACCUUUACCUUUCCCUCAACUUCCUAGAGAAUCCCAUCUUCUAUUUCCUUGUAUGGAAAUGAGUCUAAGAGAAGUUCAUUACCCACAAAAUUAUAAAUAAGAUUAUUAACGAUGGUGUAUACAAUAACUGGUCAUGGUAAAAUUUCUAAUCUACAACUAUUUCAACAGUGUAAAAUUCCUUGAUGACCACAUUCAUGGAACAAAAUAUACCUAGAGGAAGACGAAGUUUCGAGCUAAUCUUAUUCAUUUUUAUAAUAUAACUCACACAGAACUUAUAAAUCACGAUUCCUUUCGCUGCUACCCCCAGAUCAAGUUAACUUGAAGCACGAACUCUUGGGCAAUGACAACAAGACAUAUCAUCAUAUAUACUACAGUAUAGAAGAUAAAGGAUUCCUUUUACCAGUAUCCUUUGGUAGAUCCUCUAUCCUUGUAAGGCUUUAAAAAAAAAAGAAUAAUUUUGUAGAAUAAAUGACCCAUUAAAUCAGCAUCAAGAACUUGAUCCAAUGCAAUAUAAUACCAUCCAAUAAAUCAGCAAUGAAAACUUGAUUUGUUAAAAAAAUAAUAAUAAAUAAAUUCACAACUACCAUAAAAGAUUCAAUAUUCAAGAGAAAAACACGAAUUUAGAUCAGUCGAAAAAAAUACUACAAACAAGAAAAACAUUUGAUCUUUGAGGCAAAAAAUCGUGUAGCAUAAAACAAAAGUAAAUUAGAUAUUUCUAGCAGUACAUCUAUUAAAUAAUUCAGUAAAGCAAAACAUCUAACUAAAGGAUUUAGUUUAUACCAAUACUUCAUGAAUAAUUAAAAAUACGAGUAAUGAUGAAAAUUAAAUAGUCUAUUAAAUUAUAAACCACAGCCUUAGAAACCAAUACUGCACCUCAAAAGACAAUAAACAAUGGAGGGAUUAUAUUCCUGAAAAGAUUUAAAUACCGAUCGCAUAGGUCCUGAAUUGCAGAUAGUGGCUGCCUAUCCCUGGGAAUAUUAGGAAACCAGCUGAGCAAAAACCCUAACCAUUAGAACCCUGCUGUAAAUGUCAGCCAUUUCACCAUUCCGGCCGCCAUACCUGUGAAUAGCGUGUUGAACGACCCGGUGGGAACGUCUUUCAUCGUGGCGAAGAAUGCUAGCCCAGCGGUACAAACCAGGGGUGAUUUCAAUUGCACGGCUAAGCUUAGGAUUCCUCCGGCAAAGAAUUUUGAGGCAAUUAAGGCUGUGUCCAAGAGAGUAGUUAGUGUCUGAGUCGACCCAGAGAGCAAAUCUUGAGAAGGGUUUUGGAUUUUGGCAGACUUUAUUACUGGGUUUGCAAAUGGUGCUGCAACAGAGGACAAGAUUCUUGAUUUAGAGCAUUUCGGGUAUGGGGAGAAAGGGAGGAAUUUGGGUUUUGAGAGGACGGGGAGGAGAUGGUAGUUAUCGGCGACGGGAAAUAAGAGAACGGUGGGAGAGUUGUGGUGGGAGAGAAAUCGAUGAGAGAAGAAGCCAUAUAAUUGGAGGAAAUACACGAAAUGGCCGUUGGACUUUAGCAAAUUUUGACAUUGGCAU
Molecule: long non-coding RNA, 2853 nt
Filed under: Olea europaea subsp. europaea
Lineage: Eukaryota; Viridiplantae; Streptophyta; Magnoliopsida; Lamiales; Oleaceae
Source: RNAcentral